CACGGUUGUCGUCAGCUCGUGCCGUGAGGUGUUGGGUUAAGUCCGCAACGAGCGCAACCCUCAUUGUUAGUUACUACCAUUCAGUUGAGGACUCUAAUGAGACUGCCAACGAUAAGUUGGAGGAAGUGGGGAUGACGUCAAAUCAUCAUGCCCUUUAUGACCUGGGCUACAAACGUACUACAAUGGCCAAUACAAAGAGAUGCGAAGCGGUGACGUGGAGCGAACCUCAGAAAGUUGGUCUCAGUUCAGAUUGAAGUCUGCAACUCGACUUCAUGAAGGCGGAAUCGCUAGUAAUCGCAGGUCAGCAUACUGCGGUGAAUACGUUCCCGGGCCUU
RNAcentral lists this ribosomal RNA (335 nucleotides) under uncultured Mollicutes bacterium. RNAcentral describes it as "bacterial SSU rRNA". It matches the Rfam family "Bacterial small subunit ribosomal RNA", at positions 1044 to 1382 of the family's 1533-position model. The record is from RNAcentral. Lineage: Bacteria; Bacillati; Mycoplasmatota; Mollicutes.